GGAGCUAACCAAGCAGGGUGUCAAAGACCUCAAGCACAUUAGAAACUCAGAAAAGGGCAGGUCUAAUGUGAGACAGGAUAAGCACAAAAGUCUUCAGCUGGCAAAGUACUAUGGCAGACGCUGUGAUUCUUCACUUCUUUCUGGAUUGAACUGCCCUAUUAUGUACACUUGCAGCAAUUCCCAGCAAGGAAUGGAAUCUGUUUCCCCACCUCUUGAGUCUGGACUGGUCCAAUGACCUGAUUUGACGAAAAGAAUGAAGUGGGAGUGACCAUGUGCCAGUUCUGAGCCUAGAUUUCAAGAAACCCACUCUGUUGGAAUCCUCUUGCUGCCAUGUGAGUAAGCCUGUGUAAGCCUGCUGGACAAUGAGAAACACAGAGCCUAGUUGCGGCAUUAACCCAGCCGACAGCCAGAAUAUCCUGCAGCUCACCAAAGAUGCUAAGGGAGUCCAGGAAUGUGAAGCUGCUAAGCAAAGAGGAGAUCUUCAAUAAAUGUUGCAUCAGAAGAAAUAUAAAAACCUGAGAACAAAAGUCUCUCAUCCAUUCGGGGGGUAUCCCCCAUCUUCUAUGCCUCUCAUCUAGAGGAAACACAGCCCACCUGCUUUCAAGCCAGGCACGUCCUUGGGCGUUCUGCUGGGGCUGCGUGUGAACUCAGUGCAGCAUUCCCAAUGACUACAUCUAAUCAGUUCAGCAGCUCGUGGAUUCUGCAGGAUUGAACCAUUUGCUGUGCAAGCCCAAGCAUAUCCAGGCAGCAGGGGGCAGUUGCCCUGCCCUGUGAGGUGAGGGAGUCAUGUUCCUCAGAGGAAGCAGAGCGGAAGGCAGUGGCUGAUGCCACUACAUAAAGACGUUAGACACAAAGCCCACAUGCAAUAAAUACAUAAGCUGAAGUAAACUGAUGUACACCGUUGGUUACACCUUUCCUAACAACCAAACUGACUAUUGCUUUCCAGCCUUUGGUGACAAGAUUGAAGAGCUUAUCAUAUUCAAGUUGAUUACAUCCUUGGAAAAAAUUGUUGUAGCCUUUGGAGUAGAAGACUGCACCAAUUUUAGGUCUAAUUCCUGGAAAUUUAUCAGUAGUCAUUAUGGAAUAACCAGGGUCCAUGAAUUGUCUUCUCUCUUCUCACCUCCAGUAAUGUCUAUCCACAAAGAGGUAGGUCUUGUAGCAGCAUGCAUUAAAAACAGCAGGAGCAAUCUUCUCACAGAGUCAGG
This 1205-nucleotide long non-coding RNA is filed under the name Equus caballus (horse). RNAcentral describes it as "lncRNA (ENSECAG00000047148.1)". The record is from RNAcentral. Lineage: Eukaryota; Metazoa; Chordata; Mammalia; Perissodactyla; Equidae.